UAACACACUCACCCCUAAGUCAAAACUGUAGCCUCCUUAAUCUUUUUUUUUUUUUUUUUUUUCUUUUUUUAUCUCUAUUUUUUUCUAUUUGUUGAAUUAGUAGAUGUAUUUCAACAAAGAAAAUUGAAUCUGAGGAGCGAUUCAUAAUAUUUUUUCUUUUGAUGCUCCGAUCUAAGAUGAGUUUCUUUCCCUUAUCUCUGUAGAUCUCUAUCGCGUUUCGUUGAAUCUUAGUGUUUUAACAUAACUUGAGAAAUCUGAUUGUUUGUUUUGGAUGAUUGAAACAUGAUACUGGAAAGAGGGAGAAAGUUGUGCAUCUAACUGAUAUCAAUUUUAUGGGAUAAAGUUGAAAAACCCCCGAUCCCAAAGACCAAUUUUUGUACUUUAAUUUCCCUGAUUUCAUAUGGUUUAUCUCGGUAUUCUUUUAUUUUUUUUAUGUUUUUUUUUGAAUUCCUUAAUCUCGAAUUCUUUCUCUUAGUAUUUUCUUCCCCUUGGGUUUAAAAAUUAGAUUUGAUUAUUUUGUUCUUCAAUAAUUCUAAUGUUUGUUUGUUAACAGAGAAUGAAAAGUAGGUUUUUCAAUUUUCCUUUCCAAUUGUUCUGAAUUUGUGUGGUUUUGAGGCUGGAUCUGUGUAUCUUAGGGUUUGAUUUUGGUAAUUAUUUUGAUUUUUGCAAAAUAAUGCAGGAUUACGUCGAUGCUCAUGCUGUGGAAGAUGAUGGAGGUUAACGUAGAGUUAAGUGUCGUUAUAUUGAAAACCUUUUAGGAAUUGCAUAUAUCAGCUUUUGGUGUGUGUUUUUGUUUUCAAACUACUGCUUAUGCUCUGUAUGACUCAGGUGAUGGACUCGGUGAAGGAUAUGAUAUGGUUGAUCAGGCUGGAAAUGGCAAGUUGCGUGUAUCAGUUGCUCAGAGCAAACUUGCUGUAAAAUUUGCUUAGAAGUCCAAGAUUAAAAGCUACGGAAGCGUUAGUGGUACUACCUCAGGCCUAACCUCAAGGAAAGAAGAGGCUUGCUGAAGUUGCUAACAAGAAGCCCAAUCUUGGACAAAAAUUUUAAAGUAGAAACUCCUCGGAAGUCGGGUGCUGAUGGCAAGAAAGGUGGUGUUGUUCGUCAAGGUACUCCUUACCCCAAGGGAGGAAAGACCCCUGCAAGUGGAGGCAAGUCAAACAAAUCUCUAAAAUCCAGUUUCAUCCGAUUCUUGUACAAAGGCAUUCGGUACUGACUCUGCUCUCCAGGCACACUCAAAUGUGUUUAAACACAACAAACUCAAUGUUAUUCCACAACAUAACAAACUCACGCAAAUUGAAUCCAAACAUGACGUGAUCGUUGGCAUCCCAGAUUCUGGUAUCUAGUCUGAGUCAGAGAGCUUUAAUGAGGAAGGAUUAGUUCAUUUUCACAAGAGGACUGCAAUAGGUUGCUGGUGAUCAGUUCACAGUCAAUUGUUUGUUUGUUCAGACACUUAAUUCUUGGUGCCUAGGAAGUUUGUUUUCAUACUUAGAAUGAUUAUUUUGUAAAUGUGUAUGUAUGAAUUGUGAAUGGCGGGUAGUUUGCAAAUUAAAAAUUCAAGACAGAUUGAAAAAUACAAAAUUGCAGGCAUGUGUUCGUUUUAGGUUCAGUUGUUGUAUUGCAGGCCUGUGCUACAGGUUUAAUUGUGCAGGCCUGUAAACUGGAAGGCCGGGUCCGUGAGAAUGACCUGGACUACCCAUUUUUUUUAA
This is a long non-coding RNA of Papaver somniferum (opium poppy), 1706 nucleotides long. RefSeq lists it as uncharacterized. The record is from RefSeq and is a predicted model, not a curated record. The transcript has 6 exons. Lineage: Eukaryota; Viridiplantae; Streptophyta; Magnoliopsida; Ranunculales; Papaveraceae.